This 74-nucleotide transfer RNA is filed under the name Sphaerochaeta associata. Its description in RNAcentral is "tRNA_Arg_CCT". It matches the Rfam family "tRNA". From Rfam's summary of the family: Transfer RNA (tRNA) molecules are approximately 80 nucleotides in length. Their secondary structure includes four short double-helical elements and three loops (D, anti-codon, and T loops). RNAcentral also lists the same sequence under 4 other names. The record is from RNAcentral. Lineage: Bacteria; Pseudomonadati; Spirochaetota; Spirochaetia; Spirochaetales; Sphaerochaetaceae.
GCUCCUGUAGCUCAGCUGGAUAGAGCACUUCCCUCCUAAGGAAGGGGUCGUGCGUUCGAAUCGCGCCAGGGGCA